Molecule: ribosomal RNA, 433 nt
Filed under: uncultured bacterium
Lineage: Bacteria
Description: partial 16S ribosomal RNA
Rfam family: Bacterial small subunit ribosomal RNA
Source: RNAcentral
AACGAACGCUGGCGGCAUGCCUAACACAUGCAAGUCGAACGAGACCUUCGGGUCUAGUGGCGCACGGGUGCGUAACGCGUGGGAACCUGCCCUUAGGUUCGGAAUAACUCCCCGAAAGGGGUGCUAAUACCGGAUAAUGUCUUCGGACCAAAGAUUUAUAGCCUUUGGAUGGGCCCGCGUUGGAUUAGCUAGUUGGUAGGGUAAAAGCCUACGAAGGCGACGAUCCAUAGCUGGUCUGAGAGGAUGAUCAGCCACACUGGGACUGAGACACGGCCCAGACUCCUACGGGAGGCAGCAGUGGGGAAUAUUGGAAAAUGGGCGAAAGCCUGAUCCAGCAAUGCCGCGUGAGUGAUGAAGGCCUUAGGGUUGUAAAGCUCUUUUACCCGGGAUGAUAAUGACAGUACCGGAAGAAUAAGCUCCGGCUAACUCCGUG